UGCCCGUUCAUUUCAGCUCACAAUCUCCACCCAGAUGCUCACGUUUCCCUGAAUGACUUCAGUUGCAUCUCAGCUCGAGGUCCGACUAAGUCUCCCCCAUGAACCACGUGCCCGGUCAGCAUGUCACCUCUCCGCUCAGGACUCUGCUGCCGUGACUCUCGCUAAAGCACCGAUUCUGGGAGUCAGACGGGCUCAGCUCAGAUCUCACCUCUCCCCGGAAGACUUGGCAGCCAGCUCUCUCUCCCACAAUCCCCCGUCCCACACUCUUUAGCACCCAAAGCCUUGAUGAAGCAUCUUUCCUCGGGCUGGAGCACACUGCCGGACACAACCACGUCCCCCAAGUCUUGGCGCUCCGCAGAGUACCGGCUAGUCCUGAGCACUAGGGAGGGAGGAGGAAACUAUUGGCUAACUUCUGGGAUGGAGAUAACCAUUUCCCAAAGAAGCGUCCCUGAGCUGAUCCCCGGCCUGGAAGCAGAGGAGGAGCGCGGGGCGGGGCAGAAUGGAACCUCAUUUACCACUGCGGCUUCCUCCAGUGGAGUCGCUCGGAGCCAGGGGAGGUGGAUGCGGCUUGUCCAUCAGCAUGCCCGAUGAGGGGGCUCCUCCCAAGGGGACAGGGGGGAUGGAGUAGGGGCCGGGGACACAGGACACAGAGGGAGGGUACCCGGCCUUGGCUGCUUUCCCUGCUUCAUACACUGCGGAGGGAGAUGAAGAGCAAGAGAUUAUACGGCCCCACCCUCACAACCCUCACACCUCACGUCCCUGAGGGUGCACUUUAGGGACCUCCUGGAUGUGUGCCUGUGUGUGCCUAUUUGUGCAUGCACGCACGUGUGUGCCUAUGCGUGCAGGUGCAUGCUGUGUCCCAGUGCAUGUGUGUACAUGUGUGUGUCUAUUUGUGCAUGUGCCUGUGUGUGCUUAUGUGCAUGUGCCUAUGUGUGCAUGUAUGUGUGUGCAUGCGCCUUGCGCGCCUGUGUGUUUGUUCUCCUAGGCCUGAGUCACGUAAUUGGAAGCACUCCCCGCACUGCCUUGGACUCCUCCGGCUCCGUCAGCAGACGACAUCAGGAAUUACAGUGUUUGGCACCUGGCAACUGAGUCACUAGCAGCAGCGGGAGCCGUCCCAGCAGCUCCGUGACAGCAGCGGCCCACUCCUAGCCACACUGUAUGUAGGCGGCCCAGCCCCGGGGCUGCCCAGGGCAGCUUCCGGGGGAGCCGGAACCUCUUCCAGCGGCAAAGCGAGCAAGGGGCUGCGUGUGAGCCCAAAAGCAGAGCAGAUAACCUGACCCUCCCGGAAGUGCGUUCUUCCCGAGAGCACUAACCUACCACGUGUCUCUCUCCUGCGAGCUGUGUCUGGUUGACAGCAGGGGUUCCAAAUGUGAUGCCUACCUGGGCCUGGCACCCUGGGAAUCCCCAAAGGAGGACUCGCUCUUCUGUGGGCCCUUUGGUCAUGGGCGCACAUAAAACCUGCCAGUGGCUGGAUGGCACCCAGGACUGUGGUCUGCACACACUGCUCAUCAAAAGGGGGUUCUCUGCUGUGGGAGGCGUGACCAGAGAAGGUUCCUCGAGUCUGAACGCCCCGGGAGAGGGCAGGCGCCUCUCCCACAGCCUCAGCCUCCUGCACCUGCCCUUCCUGCAGCCAAGUCUCAACGAGACGGCACAUGCUGCUGACGGGCGUGGACAAGGACGGAGAGGCCUGAGGGCAGCAGCAGGACUCCGGGCAGCAGGGGCAGCGGAUGUAGCAGCAGCAGCUGUGUGGGCAGCACUGGCACCAGCAGAUGCCCACCAGGACGAAGAAGAGGAAGACGCCCAGGAUCACCAGCCCCACAAACACCCACUCUGGAAGGAGGCACAGAGAAACUCGCGUCAGGGUGGCGCCUCCCCAUGAAGAGGCAGACGGGGGGCCUGGGACAGAGGGCACAGAACCCCCAAACUCGGGAGGCACUGGGAGAGUGAGAAGUGCAGACCUCCCAGGGCUGGGGCGUGAAAAGGAUGGUCACCAGGUCCUGUGAGCACAAGCCACGGUGGGCUCAGGGCCCGCCCGGGGAACGGGUUUACCAUGUUGACUGCAGUGUCAGGACUGGUGUGGGACAGGAACACAGACUGGUGGCUGGGGAGGGGACGGGUCUGCUGAACUAGAACGUGGGUUCUGUGAGUACGUAUCCUGGGGAGUCGUUGAUCUUGUCGCUGGACGUGUAAGCCCUGAGAAACUUCUCCAUGUCUACCGGGUGCAAAUCAGAACGUAUUUAGGUGGUCCGUGUCCUUAUGUCUCUAUCCGUUCCCCUGCCCAUCGUCCCGGGACGCCUUUCCUGAACUCAGCAUCAGGGCUAAUACCUGCCCAGCGAACCAUGACCAGAGACAGGAGAGCGGCUCCCAGAGAGAAGACGCCGCCCCGCCCCCGGCUGCCGACAGGCUGGAGGGCCCAACUCCCCCCUGGCAGCGUGGGAGGCCGGAGUGAGCCUCGGUUUCCCUUAAAAGCUAAAAGACUAAAGCAAUUUUGAUUGAAAAUCAUCUACCAAAAAUCCCUUUA
Long non-coding RNA from Myotis myotis, 2521 nucleotides. RefSeq lists it as uncharacterized. The transcript has 3 exons. The record is from RefSeq and is a predicted model, not a curated record. NCBI's taxonomy places the organism in Eukaryota, Metazoa, Chordata, Mammalia, Chiroptera, Vespertilionidae.